CAGCCGCCACGGGAAUACGAAGGGGGCUAGCGUUGCUCGGAAUUACUGGGCGUAAAGGGAGCGUAGGCGGACUGUUUAGUCAGAGGUGAAAGCCCAGGGCUCAACCUUGGAAUUGCCUUUGAUACUGGCAGUCUUGAGUACGGAAGAGGUAUGUGGAACUCCGAGUGUAGAGGUGAAAUUCGUAGAUAUUCGGAAGAACACCAGUGGCGAAGGCGACAUACUGGUCCGUUACUGACGCUGAGGCUCGAAAGCGUGGGGAGCAAACAGGAUUAGAUACCCCGGUAGUCCCUGUCUCUUAUAC
RNAcentral lists this ribosomal RNA (301 nucleotides) under uncultured bacterium. RNAcentral describes it as "partial 16S ribosomal RNA". It matches the Rfam family "Bacterial small subunit ribosomal RNA", at positions 509 to 807 of the family's 1533-position model. The record is from RNAcentral.